This 82-nucleotide transfer RNA is filed under the name Haplomitrium blumei. RNAcentral describes it as "tRNA-Arg". It matches the Rfam family "tRNA". Rfam says of the family: Transfer RNA (tRNA) molecules are approximately 80 nucleotides in length. Their secondary structure includes four short double-helical elements and three loops (D, anti-codon, and T loops). Further hydrogen bonds mediate the characteristic L-shaped molecular structure. tRNAs have two regions of fundamental functional importance: the anti-codon, which is responsible for specific mRNA codon recognition, and the 3' end, to which the tRNAs corresponding amino acid is attached (by aminoacyl-tRNA synthetases). tRNAs cope with the degeneracy of the genetic code in two manners: having more than one tRNA (with a specific anti-codon) for a particular amino acid; and 'wobble' base-pairing, i.e. permitting non-standard base-pairing at the 3rd anti-codon position. Lineage: Eukaryota; Viridiplantae; Streptophyta; Haplomitriopsida; Calobryales; Haplomitriaceae. The record is from RNAcentral.
GGGGUUUGUAGCUCAGUGGAUUAGAGCUCGUGGUUCCGGACUACGGUGUCAAGGGUUCGAAUCCCUUCUAACCCGGUUAUCU